Chelonia mydas (Green sea turtle) is the source of this 3681-nucleotide long non-coding RNA. RefSeq lists it as uncharacterized. Lineage: Eukaryota; Metazoa; Chordata; Testudines; Cheloniidae. The record is from RefSeq and is a predicted model, not a curated record. The transcript is spliced from 3 exons.
GGUGGGGAGGGGGGGUUACAGCCCCGCCCCUGAGGCAGGUGGCUCCCGAGGCGUGGUCCGUCCUUCCGGCUGCGUCAUUCUUCCUACAGCUCUAGGUGGGGGGAGGUGCCUCAGGCCGAGCCUCCUUCCGUCAACUCGCAUGGGGGGGGGGGGGCGCGAACCUCCGGCCGCGGUCGCUCCUGCCCUGGAGCCCGCGGGAAACCCUGCCCGGUGCUCUCCCGUGCCAGGGGCCAGGCUAGUCCUGGUGCCCGCUCUCAGGCUAAUUCGGGUUUUCCUGAAGCCCCAGCGCCUGCAGCCAGGCGGCUGUGUGAUGGUUUCCGCCUUAAAGGCUAGGAGAUGCCCUGUGACCUCACUCAAGAACUCAGAUUUACACGUGUGUAUUCUGCAGCAUGAACCCAAAGCAAGUCCCGGUCAUCUUCUAUGCCACCUGUCCACUGAGGCAGCAGCAGUGCCCAGGCAGAGCCAGUGAGAAUUGAGCCCUGAAGAGACCUGUAUGCAACUGGGGAACCACUCAGAGGAGGUUGUCCAGAAGCUGUUCGGUUCUGCACAGACUUCCCCAGGACAUCACUGCAGUGUCACUUCAGGGACUGUGUGUCUGCAGCUCUCCAGUUAAGGGAUAUUUGAGCUACAUAUAACCUGCCUUGGGUUUGUGCCAGGGAGGGCAGACCAGGGCUCAACACACCGAGGAGGCAGUUGUAUCCAAGUCUGAGGCAACACCUUCAUUUAGCCCAGGAAGCAAAUCCCAUCACUGCCAGUGAGACAUAGGAGGAAUUUGGGUCAUCAGAACUCUGCCUAAACAGAAGUAUGGCCAGGACUCCAGGAAUAACAGCCACCUGUUUUUGAGAUAUGUGCUAAGGAUUUAAUGGCCAUGAGCACUAUUAAAGGACAGCACCUCCAGAAGCACAGGCUCCUAGCACCAGAGGAAGUGUGCCCCCAACAGGAGCAACUCACUCCACUACCUGCAACAGCUUGGCUAUUCCUUGAAAGCCUGUCCAAGCAUUGACAAAGAUCACCGCUCUGCAUGGUCUGUCUGUAGACAGAGCUUUAUGAACUUGUUCAGAGGAUUCCAAGUUUGCAGUCCAGGCAUAGAAUUGGAAGACACAGAAGUCUGUGCAGCUGCAACAAGAGAGUCUUCACUUCCAAGGACAGAUGCUCAAUUCUUAGUCUGAACAGAGGCAUUUAGACCAGAGAUUCUUAGGUCACUAGAACAUGAGACACAUUGGACAACACACUGUCAGCUGGAAUGUGACCUUACUUUGUGGAUUCCUGGGAGAUGGCCCCUGGGGAGAUUGUUCUGGCUGCUGACCAUUUGCUUGAGGCCAAGGUAAUCCCUCCAUCCUGAGAUGCCUCCCAGAUUCUUUUCUGCAGUACUCCUUCCUAGGUGCUCAUUUUCCCAUUGUGUUUUGGGGCAAUUGAUUGUUCCUGUCUAACUGUAGUAUUUGCAUUUGUCCUUAUGGAAUUUCAUCCUAUUUAUUUCAGGCCAUUUCUCCAGUUUGUCUAGAUCACUUUGAAUUCUAAUGCUGUCCUUCAAAGCGCUUGGAACCCCUCCCAGCGUGGUAUCAACAAAUUAAGUGUACUCUCAGUUUAGAUAAUGACAUAAAUAUAUUGAAUAGAACUAGACCUAGGACAGAUCCCUGUGGGACCCCAUGUGAAAUGGCCUCCCAGCUUGACUGAAGCACUGAUAACUACUCUGAGUAGUUAUCCAGCCAGUUGUGCACCCACCUUAUAGCAAGGUCAUCUAGGCUAGAUUGCCAUAGUUUGCUUCUGAAAAGGGCAUGUGAAACAGUAACAAAAGCCUUAUUAAAGUUGAUAUACAUCACAUUUACUGCUUCCUCCAUAUCCAGUAGGCUUGUUACCCUGUCCAAGAAGGAUACUAGGUUGGUUUGACAUGAUUUGUUCUUGACAAGUCCAUAUUGACUGUUACUUAUCACAUUAUCUUGUGGUGCUUACAAAUGGAUUGUUUGAUUAUUUUCUCUAUUAUCUGUCCAGGUAUUGAAGUUAGGCUGACAGGUCUAAUUCCCAAGGUUGUCCUUGUUCCCUUUUUAUAGAUGGGUAACUUGCCCUUUUCCAGUCCUCUAGGAUGUCCCCCUUCCUCUAGAAAUUCCCAAAGAUAAUCACUAAUGGCUCAGAGAUCUCUUCAGCCAGUUCCUUACGUAUUCUAGUAUGCCUUCCGUCAGGCCCUGCUGGCUUGAAGGCAUCUAAUUUGUCUAAGGUCAGUCCUACACUACAAGCUUACAUUGUUAUAGCAAUGUUGCUCGGGGGCGGGGGGUGGUGUCUUUCUUGCAUACCCCAGAGCAACAUAGUUUUGCUAGCGUAAGUGGUAGCGUGCACAGCGCUAAGUCAGUGGGAGAGCUCUUUGAGGGGUGGUUUAAUUAUGUCAAUAGGAGAGCUCUCUCCCAUCAGUACAGAGUGGCUACAAGGGAGACCUUGGGGUUAGGAUGUGGUAGAAAGUUACCAUCUCAUUAGCUAAAGGCUCACAACCAUAGGAUCACCCACAAACCUGUUUUGAAGCCAAUGGAGCUAUGUUCUUAAGUCUGUCCUGCCCAUGAGUCCCAGCUUACCUAUUCACAAUCAGCUUUGCUUGGGGGAAAAGGUACUAAAAGGGACUGUACCGAGUGAGUAAUAUUUACAUUUAAACUAUUAACCAGAUUAACUAUCUGCUCCACAUUAUUCAGAUAAUGGCAAAUCCUCCUUUGAAUCUUCCUCAGCUACACCUUGUGUCAGUGGCUGAUCAAUGGGGAGGCUCCCAGACAAUUCUGUUUGGCUGAGAGUGUAACGUUUCUGUACUGCCAUGAGUAAUGCCCCCCGUUUCAAUGAGCUCUCUGAAGGUGGACAUCUGUGUCAGUGCGCAGGCCCAGAGACUUCCCUGGGGCUCUGCACAUGUGCAGGGAUUUACCUGCCCAGAGCUCAUGACGGGACCAGGGCCUAAGCAAAGUGAGGGAUUUGGUAGGACAGAACAUUAGCUGGGCUGCCACUUCAGUGUGGGUUAGAAGGGGAAGGAAUUAAGAUGAGGCUUUCCAUGACCCUGGAGGGAUGGGUUAGAAGGUGCUGCCUUUAAUAAAUCAAAUAUAAAGCAGCCCUUACCUGUAGCCACUGUUUGAGAAAAUACAAAGAUUUCCUUGUAGACAUAUUAAGAGGCUGCCUUGGUGUAUUUUGACAAACACCUUGCCUGGGUCGACAGUGCUGAGUCAGGGUUUAGUCUUAGCAUUAAGCUUAUUGGUGAAUGCUCUGUUAUAGAGAAGAAAGUUUGGCAUUUGGGAGGGACAGAGGAUUUUUCCAAGCACUGCACAAAGUUGGUUCCAUUGCUCAGUAACAGAAGCCAAGGCAUAAACCCAAGAAGUCAUAAAACUGUGAGUCUUAUGUUUAUGUAUUUUUACAAAAAGUUUCACUCUUUUUUUACAUCUUUGCAUAGCAUUAGAAGAAACCUGCAUCUGAAGUUGAGAAAGGUAGGGGCAUGUGAAUUGCCAUACCACAUCGGACCAGUGGUCCGUCUGGUCCAAUGUCCUCUCUCUGACAGUUCAGCACCAGGUGUUUCAGAAGAUGGUGCAAAAAGCUCUCUAAUACAGUGGUUCUCAACCAGGAGUACAUUUACCCCUGGGGGUAGGCAGAGGUCUUCCAGGAGGUACAACGAUUCAUCUAGAUAUUUGCCUAGUUUUACAACAGGCUACAUAAAAAGCACUA